GUCCUCGUAGCUCAGUAGGAUAGAGCGACUGCCUCCUAAGCAGUAGGUCGCACGUUCGACUCGUGUCGGGGACGCCA
RNAcentral lists this transfer RNA (77 nucleotides) under Clostridiales bacterium. Its description in RNAcentral is "tRNA-Arg". It matches the Rfam family "tRNA". Rfam says of the family: Transfer RNA (tRNA) molecules are approximately 80 nucleotides in length. Their secondary structure includes four short double-helical elements and three loops (D, anti-codon, and T loops). Lineage: Bacteria; Bacillati; Bacillota; Clostridia; Eubacteriales. The record is from RNAcentral.